Coregonus clupeaformis (lake whitefish) is the source of this 499-nucleotide long non-coding RNA. RefSeq lists it as uncharacterized. The record is from RefSeq and is a predicted model, not a curated record. NCBI's taxonomy places the organism in Eukaryota, Metazoa, Chordata, Actinopteri, Salmoniformes, Salmonidae. The transcript has 3 exons.
GGGAAGCCGAAAACAAACAGACUGAGAAGAAGCCUCAGACAAACGCAGGCAACCCCAUCUCUUAUUGAUUCUCUAAAAACCUGUCAAGAUUUCAAGACGCCAACUCGUGUGACAUCGAGAUACAACAAUGUAUUCAACAAAGGAGAAUCGCCAAUGAAUGAAUCAGAACUUCAACAGGAUAUAAUUUGGGAUGCAACUUCCCCUUCACCCCUUAGGACAGGCAAUUAUAUUUACAUGUCAAUAUAACUACACACGUAGUAGGCUAAGCAGUGAUGAUCAAUUUAAAGUUUACCUUAUCUGUCUUCACUUUUUUCAUGUUCUUUCUUAGGUAGCAAAAGAGGCAAGAAGUACUCAGCAAAUGUUGGAAUUGUGGACAUUUCCGAAAUCGUCAACAGGAUAGCUCCCACGCAUGGGAGACCUGUAGUUCCAGAGUCAUCCUUGCUCCAGUGGAUUGAGACAGUGCUAUUCCCUGCACCCCAGAGAUGCAGCAGCCCAAGGC